UACCGCAUACGUCCGUACGGGAGGAAGGGGGGGAUCUUCGGACCUCUCGCUAAUAGAUGAGCCUAGGCCGGAUUAGCUAGUUGGUAGGGUAAAGGCCUACCAAGGCGACGAUCUGUAGCUGGUCUGAGAGGAUGGCCAGCCACACUGGAACUGAGACACGGUCCAGACUCCUACGGGAGGCAGCAGUGGGGAAUAUUGGACAAUGGGGGCAACCCUGAUCCAGCCAUGCCGCGUGUGUGAAGAAGGCCUUCGGGUUGUAAAGCACUUUAAGCGAGGAGGAAGGUUUUGGUUUAAUACACUAAAGAAUUGACGUUACUCGCAGAAUAAGCACCGGCUAACUCUGUG
This 345-nucleotide ribosomal RNA is filed under the name uncultured bacterium. RNAcentral's name for it is "bacterial SSU rRNA". It matches the Rfam family "Bacterial small subunit ribosomal RNA", at positions 167 to 507 of the family's 1533-position model. The record is from RNAcentral.